GCUUAUAAGUUGAGCCGUGGGUGCAAUGUUGUCUCACAGAAGAUUAGCAUGGCCAUGCGCAAGGAGGACACGCACAAAUCAAGAAAUGGUCCAAAUUUUU
Molecule: small nuclear RNA, 100 nt
Organism: Panicum hallii
Lineage: Eukaryota; Viridiplantae; Streptophyta; Magnoliopsida; Poales; Poaceae
Source: RefSeq, a predicted model, not a curated record